This is an RNA transcript of Oncorhynchus keta (chum salmon), 3587 nucleotides long. It is a transcript of the gene named exocyst complex component 3-like protein, with no coding region annotated. The record is from RefSeq and is a predicted model, not a curated record. The transcript is spliced from 13 exons. Lineage: Eukaryota; Metazoa; Chordata; Actinopteri; Salmoniformes; Salmonidae.
CAGUGGCAGCUAAUAGGCCGGUGACGACGACCGCCGAGCUCCACCCGCCCGGGAAGGGGAAACACCCUCGGUCGGACUCGUGACACAAUGAGUGUAUUGUUCAACAUGUAAAUGGUAUAUAGGUGUGCAGGACAAUACAAUGCGGCCACAGAUACUGAAAGCAACACUGACUGUGGUGUCUCCAAUCAGAAAACGGGAAAUUCCCUGCUCCAGCACCACUCUAUAUAGUUUGGUAAACGGACAAUUGUAUGGAUAUUGGUGGUUGGUUGACAAACUGUGACUUACAGUAUUCCUCAUUUGGACUACUGUACAUGUACUUGCUACAUCCUCUCAAGAUAUUCCAUCAUCAUAUCCACCUACUUGGAUUCUGUCUAAGGACCAGUUGAGUUCAGCAGUGGUCCCUUUUGUGGCAAUCAGUGUGUCAGGCAAUCAACCCAGAAGAAAACCAUGAAGAAAUUCAACUUCAUGAGCAGAAAGAGUAGGCCAUUGGGGAUAGAGGACGGGAGUCCUCUGAUUAAGAACAGUACACUGCCUACAGAUGAAGAGGAACAAACCGGGAAUGUGGGGUAUGGGAAUCCCUACUUGGAGAAUGGCUUUAACAAUCAUCAGGAGUUGGGCAAUCAGGGGGGUCAGGAGAAGGGACAGUCAUUACUCAGUGUACUUGCAGAAGCUUUGAGGGUCAGCCAUGUUGGCCCUCAAGAGAGACUUGAAGCUAAUUUGGAGGGGCCACCAGAAGAGAUUAUGUGCCAUGAGGCUCAAAAGAAGGACGAUACACACCCAGAAGUCUUGCUCCAGAGGUACUUUCAUCUUAUUGAAGCAUCUGUGGACAAACACUUUCCCAAACUGCCAGCAGGGAACACUGUGAAUCAGCUGGAGGGCUACCUGAUAAAAGUGCAAAUAACUGUGCAAGGGGAGCUUCUGAGGUUGGCACCCCUGCUCAAAGAGGCUCAGUUGCGGAAGCAUUUGAUUGCUUGCUAUCAUCAGCGUAUGUUUGACUGUCUACAGCAGAUCCUUCAGCAUGUCAACACAAAAAAAGAGGCCUUCACAGUUCUUGACUGGGUACUACACACAUACUUGAGUGAGGAGCUGCUAGGACACCCCAACAUCUGGGAUGAGGCUCUACAUGCAGUUGACCUUCUCCUUCUGACAGACUGGAUCCCACAAGCUGAGAAGAAACUCUUGGCCACUGUGCAGGAGGACAUCUCCACAUCACUGAGGAGGAUCCUUCAGAACGAGGAGUCGGGUAGAGAGGUGUGUGUCUCUGGAGAGGAGGCCUUUAUCAAACUGCAUCUGGAUGUCAUCCAGAGCAUCAAUGCUGUUCUCCAGAAAGCAAAGAUGAUGAGCCAAACUCUGAUGCGCAAGGUCCAAAUAGUCUGUUGGCAAGAACUACAGGACUUUGUGGAAAGGUAUGUCAAUGUUGAAAAGAAGCACCUUCAGAAACUAGCAGGAAUGGGAACGUCAGGCACAAUGCACUUCUUUAAGACGUUCAACACCUGCAUUGAACUCAAGUUGUAUAUUUCAAGGAUUGCCAAAGAUGACACAAGCUUAGACUGUGUUAAAACCAUAUCAACACUUAAGGGGUUGGAAGCUCUUUCUUGGAAGCUUCUCCUGGAAAAACCAAUUCAACUUGCACAGAUGUCCUUGAAGAAGUAUUUCAAAAGAGAGGAUGAACAAAUGGAAAAUCUAAUGAAAGAGAUUACAUUUAUUUUCCAAGACCUUCCCAAAGACAAGGAUACGCAAAAGACUGUGAUUAACAAAGCCUAUCAGUGCAUCACCCUUCUGUACCUCCAACACCUGGUGCAGAGUAACCAUGGGAAGCUGGUGAAGAGAUGGGAUUAUGUGAACAAAAGAGUGAUGCAUGAUGCCGAGCUCCUUCACUCCAUCUUCUCAGUCCUGAAUCCUGAUGUUAAACAGUGGAACAUCAUACUGAUUAAAGUGAGGGAAGUGCUGGAGUGCAGCGACAUUGAAAGUCUCAAGAUAAUAGUCAGUGAGAUACUGAGGGACAACACCAAUACAAGUGCUGCUGAGCACCUUCCAGCCCUGCUGCGCUGGAAGGGAGGCCUGUCAUGGAGACUGACCCGGGAGGUUCUGGAGGCAAGCCAUGAAGUGUACUCCAUUGACCUCUCCCAAACCAGGUCUGCACCCUGGUUUGACUGCCUUCUUUGCUGCUGAGUGUGUGAACUGGGACGUUUUAGGCAAAGGACAUUAACGACCCCACUCUGACAACAUGACCCUCAAGUUCUCAACCGACAACACAAUAUUUGGAACUAUGUUUACAUGUCUUUGUCAACUAUUUUAAAGUACUAUGGAGCACCUGCCUACCCUGCUACAUUGGAAGGGAGGACUGUCACAGAGACAGACCUGGGAAGUUCUGGAGGCAAGCCAGGAAGUGUACUCCAUUUCCUGUCCCAAACCAGGUCUGCAGCCUGGUAUGGCUGCUUUUUUUGCUGCCGAGUGUGGGAACUGGGAAGUCUCAUGUAGAGGACAAUAACAACCCCCAUUCGAAACAACAUGACCAUCAAGUUCUCACUCUACUGCACAAUAUUUGGAGCUCUGUUUACAUGUCUUUGUCAACUUUUUAAAAAGGACCUGAGCCCUAGGACCGUGCCCCAGGACUACCUGACAUGAUGACUCCUUGCUGUCCCCAGUCCACCUGGCCAUGCUGCUGCUCCAGUUUCAACUGUUCUGCCUUGUUAUUAUUCGACCAUGCUGGUCAUUUAUGAACAUUUUAACAUCUUGGCCAUGUUCUGUUAUAAUCUCCACCCGGCACAGCCAGAAGAGGACUGGCCACCCCACAUAGCCUGGUUCCUCUCUAGGUUUCUUCCUAGGUUUUGGCCUUUCUAGGGAGUUUUUCCUAGCCACCGUGCUUCUACACCUGCAAUGCUUGCUGUUUGGGGUUUUAGGCUGGGUUUCUGUACAGCACUUUGAGAUAUCAGCUGAUGUACGAAGGGCUAUAUAAAUAAAUUUGAUUUGAUUUUGUUCAGAGGAGACUGUGUGAAUCAGGCCUUCAUGGUUGAAUUGCUGCAAUGAAACCACUACUAAAGGAUAACAAUAAUAAGAGACUUGCUUGGACCGGUGGAAAUGUGUCCUUUGGUCUGGAGUCCAAAUUUGAGGUUUUUGGUUCCAACUGCCGUGUCCUUAUGAGAUGCGGUGUGGGUAAACUGAUGAUCUUCGCAUGUGUAUUUCCAACCGUAAAGCAUGGAGGAGGAGGUGUUAUGGUGCUUUGCUGGUGACACGGUCUGUGAUGUAUUUAGAAUUCAAGGCACACUUAACCAGCAUGGCUACCACAGCAUGCUGCAGUGAUACGCCAUCCCAUCUGGUUUGGGCUUAGUGGGACUAGAAUUUGUUUUUCAACAGGACAAUGACCCAACACACCUCCAGGCUGUAUAAGGGCUAUUUUACCAAGGAGAGUGAUGGAGUGCUGCAUCAGAUGAACUGGCCUAUUAUUCUACAAUGUGGAAAAUAGCAAAAAUAAAGAAAAACCCUUGAAUGAGUAGGUGUUCUAAAACUUUGGACCGGUAGUGUAACUUACUGGUAAAGUGAGUGUUUACCUGGAACUGAUACACAAAAUAAAUAAUGGUCGGCUA